Molecule: ribosomal RNA, 253 nt
Filed under: uncultured bacterium
Lineage: Bacteria
Description: partial 16S ribosomal RNA
Rfam family: Bacterial small subunit ribosomal RNA
Source: RNAcentral
UACGGAGGGUGCGAGCGUUGUCCGGAAUCAUUGGGCGUAAAGGGUGCGUAGGCGGCGGGGUAAGUCAGGUGUGAAAUCCCGGAGCUUAACUCCGGAACUGCACUUGAUACUGCCUUGCUCGAGUACUGGAGAGGAGACUGGAAUUUACGGUGUAGCAGUGAAAUGCGUAGAUAUCGUAAGGAAGACCAGUGGCGAAGGCGAGUCUCUGGACAGUUACUGACGCUGAGGCACGAAGGCCAGGGGAGCAAACGGG